UCAUGAGGUUCCUGCUUCACUUCCUGGAGAUUAGCUGCGAGCCCGCGCGCGCCAACAAGAAAGCCCGCGCGCGCCAAGAGAUACUCUUCUCCCCCUCCUUCCCCAUUAUCAUAUACCAAUCAGAAUGUAACUCGCUGCGCCAUCCCUGCUAUGCAGCCAAUCCCCUGCUUACAAGUAUCCUAUGGCCCACUCUGCCCCUGAACACUGGUGUAUAUCUACCCCCGUCUUACAAUAAAAUUUGAGGGCUUGAUCAGAAUACUGUCUUGCCUUCGCUCUUCUCUCGCCCCCAUUUUCUUUCAGGUCGGAUCCCCCUCGUCCCCACAAAUAACUAGGUCCCGCUGGACGGGACAAGUGGCGCCCAACGUGGGGCUCGAGGCGCGGAUCCUUCGCAGGCGGACCCCCGAGUAAGAUAUCGUCUGGCCAGACCCCUUCUUGAUGAAACAAUAGGAGACGCCUUUCGCCGCUCACGGAGGUCGUCGUCCCUGGAGGCAAAAAUGAAGAUUUGUACACUAUUGACCCUCGUCAUGACCUUUCGCCCCGUUUGGACCCAUCAGAUUUUCAAUUUCACCUGGACAGUCACCAGUGAAGCAGGAGACGUCGUUUUCAGUUCUUCUACCUUAGCAAGUUCCCCCCCAUGGCCUGUUCUUGCCCCUGACCUCUGUGACUUGGCCGCUGGAGCUUCUGCAGCCUGGGGGACCCCAGACAUUUACUUUCCUUUUUCCACCUCCCCUGAGACCUACCCUGAGGGACAAUCUACCACCUCUCCUGGGUGUAACAACACCCCUAGGAGAACCUACCUCAGAGAAACAGAAUUUUAUGUUUGCCCGGGAGCUCAUAGAGAUCGAGCCCUUAACUAUAAAUGUGGAUAUAGAGACUCCUAUUUCUGUGACUCCUGGGGGUGUGAGACUACAGGAGAUGCUAGUUGGAAGCCUAGCUCCACCUGGGAUUAUAUAACUGUAAGUAGGGCUUGGAAUCCCAAGCCUAACUCAACUGUUACCCCAGAAUGUCAAAGCACCCAAUCCACAAGGGGGCGAUGUACACCGCUCUCCAUUGCCUUUACUGACAAGGGAAAAAGGGCCCCUAUUGAUAGAUGGCUCAGGGGACAUGAAUGGGGGCUAAGGCUUUAUGUUUCAGGGAAGGACCCUGGGCUCACUUUUAAAAUCAAAUUAAUUCGAUCCAUUCCAAACGCCAACAAGCACGUUGUCCUUGGCCCUAUUGCCCCUAAGGCAAGAGACCCAAGACCUUCUAACCCUUCUCCCCUGUCUACUAGUACUGUUUUCCAGGCCUUGCUCCCCCCAGUUUUACCCUCUACAGGCGAAAUCCUUAAAGGCCUGGCUAAUGUGACUGCAGAAUCCCUUAACUCCACUGGAUAUAGCGAGUGCUGGUUAUGUUUCUCCCCCGUUCCCCCGUUUUACGAAGGGAUAGCAGUUUUAGUAAACACCUCAGCAGACCUCAUACUUACCAAUGACUCCAGCAAGACUCGCUGGUCAGACCCCUCCCGUUUUUCAGAGACCUCUCCGGGUCUCACAUUGACGCAGCUUUCGGGAAUAGGCCUCUGUAUACAUAGCCCCAUCUUGCGUCUACCCCCUCAGCUAAUACCCAUUUGUAACAGCUCCUUCUCACCCCCGCUGUCCUAUGAAUUCCUUGUCGCGCCCAACGGUACUUAUUUUGCUUGCUCCUUUGGCAUAACGCCCUCUGUUAACCCGCGCUUGCUAAUAUCUAACAAUGAAUAUUGUGUUUUAGUCAUACUCAUGCCCAAGAUUUCCAUACAUCCCACCGAAGACCUCCUUCCAUAUUACUCGGGCUCUACUCGCACUAAGCGUGAGCCAGUAACCGCCAUUACCUUAUCUGUAAUAUUAGGAUUAGGAGCAGCUGGGGCUGGAACAGGCAUUGCCUCCAUAAUUACUUCUAAACAACAAUAUUAUGCUCUUAGUCAGGCUAUUGAUAAAGACAUACAAAAUCUGCAAGAAGGUUUAGACAGCCUGAAAGAAUCUGUUGUCUCUCUCUCUGAGGUAGUGCUCCAAAAUCGCCGAGGGUUAGACCUCCUUUUCCUGAAAGAAGGAGGCCUCUGCGCUGCUCUUAAAGAAGAAUGUUGCUUCUAUAAAGACAAAACAGGGUUAGUGCAAGAUAGCAUUGAUAAAGUUAAGAAAAACCUAGAAGCCAGGCAAAAACAAAGAGAAAAGGA
Molecule: long non-coding RNA, 2185 nt
Organism: Manis pentadactyla (Chinese pangolin)
Lineage: Eukaryota; Metazoa; Chordata; Mammalia; Pholidota; Manidae
Exons: 2
Source: RefSeq, a predicted model, not a curated record